This 2391-nucleotide long non-coding RNA is filed under the name Capra hircus (goat). Its description in RNAcentral is "lncRNA (ENSCHIG00000005926.1)". Lineage: Eukaryota; Metazoa; Chordata; Mammalia; Artiodactyla; Bovidae. The record is from RNAcentral.
GGGACACCAUCUGGACUCAAGGCAGCAGGAUGCUUCCUCCAGGCUCCUCCCCUGGGUGUCCAGCUGGUGCGGUGACUGCCUAGAGGAAAGGUGGGGUACACACACCAACUCCAUGAGUGGGGAGGGGUGAGAUGUCCGGCAGGGUGGCUGUGAUGGAUGAGGGGAUGGUCUGAGGGGUUCUCUAUGUUCUUCCCCCCAGGCUGCACCCCCAGUGUGUCUCCCCCAGGCUGUCAUGUGGAGCUGGACCAAGCCAUCGCGGCCCUGGCAACCGCACUUUCUCAGGCUUGUGGGCCACCAACUGGGGCCCUGAGAAAGGGCUCUGCUUGGGUUGGUGGACAGCCUGUCUCCGCCUGUCAAAAAGAUGCUCAGCUGGUGAAUGACGUGCUCCCCGAGCCCCAGCCUCUGCCCUCCCCUGAGGAGCACCGAAGUCCAAGCCCCCAGAGGCAGCCGAGAGCUGGAUGGCGCCCCCGGGAUGACGUCAAAGGAGGAGGCCCCAUGAGCCUUGCCCCUGCGCACAGGCAGGGAGCCCUUCCUGAGCUGCAGGUAGGGGCCAGGCAGUGUGGAGAGGGGCACAGCCCAGCAACGUGGGAUGAUGUAGGGAAACUGCCCACCCUCCAGCCUGCUUGUCACCUACACACCGUGUAUGACUCUGGGACACAGGAAAUUAGAAUUGGAGAAUACUGGUCAAGAAAAGCAUUCUUUCAAUCAACAAGUAUUCAUUGAUUUCUACGAUGUUCACAAGGCCAAGAGGUGAAGGUUUAAAAGAAUUUUCAAAACAAUGGGGAAAAAAUCCCAAAGGUGAGGUAUGAUCACAUAAUAAUAUAAAACCUCUAGGCCAAAAUGUUACCAUUAGUAGACACUUCUACUCUUUUAGAAAAAAUGUGCAAAUGGCCUUAGAGGAAGGAAACACAAACAAAUAAAUUGUAUUAGAAUGUUCAAAGAAUCAGAAAAAAAAUUAAACUAAAUACCCUUUUUUAUCUACCUAAAAUAUCUGACCAAGUUCAGUUUAGUCACUCAGUCAUGUCUCUUUGCAACCCCAUGGACUGCAGCACAACAGGCCUCCCUGUCCAUCACCAACUCCUGGAGUUUACUCAAACUCAUGUCCAUUGAGUUGGUGAUACCAAUCUGACUAAAGUACUAAGUAAUUGUGAGGAAUAAAGAAAUAAGCCCUCUCAUAUUCCACUGGUUGAAGAGUACAAAAUUUAAACCUUUCAGGAAAGCAUUGGGCAAAACUCAGCUACACAAUCAUCUCUGCCUAUAAGAGUGCCUGAGAUAAGCUAUUUUUAAUCAGAAAACACUCACUCUCCCAAAAAAUUAAUAAGAAAGUCUCUGCCAUUGUAGCCACAAUAGCACACAAGGCCCCUCACAGCUUACUGUCCCCAGCCACCACUCCUAUGUCUUCAGCAUCAUCUCUGUCCACUUUUCCAAAUUAUUAAUGCAUGCUACCACCAAACUGAACUUUGACUACUUCCCACACCAAGCUGAACAUCUCCUUGGGUAACAUUUGUCACUGAUAAUUCCUUGUUCUAUGUUUGUAUAGACUACAAACUUCAUGGGAGUUCACUAGUGGGGUUCCAUAAUCAACCAUUGGCUUGACACAUAAUGGGUGCUCAAUAAAUCUUUCUUUAUCUAUGAAUGGAUGGACGUACAAAUGGAUGGAUAAAAGGAUCCGUGUAUGAAUGUUGUGAUGGAUAGAUGCAUGGAUGGAUGCAUAGAUGGAUGGGUGGAUGGAAAGAUGCAUGGAUGGAACUGGGUGAACUGAGAGAUAGAUGAAAGUUCCUUGUGCUCUCUCAUAGCUCUCUGUUUCCACACAUGCUGUUGCCUUUGCCUAGCAUGCCCUACUUCAGCUCUCCACCCAGUUAAUUCCUUUUUGUUAACAUUCAGUUGCGAUGUCUCCUGUCUUCCAGAGAGCUCUCCCUGAUUGCAACUGCCUGUGUUAGGCUCCCUGCUUUUUGCUCCUGUAGACCCUGCACAUCCCUCCACACAGUUCUCACUAUACCAGACUGUAGGCCUGCAUUCCCUUUUCUUUAGGUACUGAGCUCUUCAAGAGCAGACAUAUCUCAACUCCACACAUCCAGCAUUGAUGCCCCCACCUGUCAUGGAGCAGUUCAAUGGGUUUUUAGUGAAAUUAGAAUACAAGGGACAAAAAAAAAAAAAAAAAAAAAAAGGGACAGUAAUGCGGACCAUGUGUCCCUUGUUUCUAGAGGAAGAUACAGCAGGUGGAAGACAAUUUGGAUGAGCUGAAUGAGGAGUUCUUCCAGCUCACUGCUCAAGCCUUAGCGCUUCAGAAAGAAGAGGACAGAACAAGCCAACUGCCUCCUGGCAAAGGCAAUCCAUGUGUGGUAAGCCCAUAAGACCACCACCUCAGCUCCUGAGGCAUCCAUGGACAGC